This 975-nucleotide long non-coding RNA is filed under the name Oryza sativa Indica Group (long-grained rice). Its description in RNAcentral is "lncRNA OsZS97_02G013860". Lineage: Eukaryota; Viridiplantae; Streptophyta; Magnoliopsida; Poales; Poaceae. The record is from RNAcentral.
CUCAAUGCUGUGGCAAAUGCUGCAUCAGACGGUAGUUGGCGGGACCUGUGCUUUAGAAGAGCAUGUGUGGAGCUGAUCAGUAUAUUGGGUAUUUAGAGAUAAAGCUAAUUUGCACAAAAAUUAUGGCUACGCCCAAGGAUGUGGUUAAAGUUGAAAAGUUUGAUUUUAUUGGUUAUUCCUGAGAACAUGAAAGAUUUAUAUUUUAUUUCUGUAGCCUAAAAAGUUAAUACAAGCAUAUGCAGAUAUGCUGGGGAUGGAGUAAGUAUAAUGGAAGAACAAUAGGCCUUUAUUUGAUGGCUUUUAGCUUUAAGAUGCUCAAUGAGGAGGGUCAAGGAGAUUUUGUUCUUUUAUUUGCCAUUGAUUGGCCUUUGGUUGAUAUAUCUGAUUUCAUGUACUCCACAGGCACAACAAAAAGCUAUCAAGUUGCUUUCUUGUGUGCUUUUGAUGAAGUCGCAGACUUUUAUCGGUCCCAGCUUAUCACAAGUGAAACUCGACGUGGCAUAGUUGUUGCCACGGCAUUGGAGGUUGAUAAAGCUUCAAAUUGCCUAUCCACCAUAGCUGCAACUACAAUGAUGUUUUUGCACAAUCGUGACUACCAGCGGUAUGCUUUGUUGGAAGAGGUGAGAAACUCCUUGUUGAAAGAACCAACCCUACAUGACGCCAUUAAGAUUGCUGUGACCUAUAGGAAGCAAGAGCUACUGCAAUUGGAAGAACAAAACAACGAUCCAGCAGAGCCAGAAGUGGUGAUAGUUGAAGAUGAUGAAGUGGUGAUUGAACCAGUGCCAAAAAAGAAGCGCACUGGCAAUAAGGGAUUCACUAUCCCUGAGGAGUUGGGGAGGGGGGGGCUAAUGCGAUUGGUCCCCCUCCCCCGCUCCGCACUCCUCCCACUUCUCCCCUUCCUCCUCCCCUUCUUCUCUUCCUAUUACAGUACACCACAAAAAAAAUUUAAAAAAACAAAAAGUUAGAAAAAUUUAU